AUUGAACGCUGGCGGCAGGCCUAACACAUGCAAGUCGAGCGGAUGAAGGGAGCUUGCUCCUGGAUUCAGCGGCGGACGGGUGAGUAAUGCCUAGGAAUCUGCCUGGUAGUGGGGGAUAACGUCCGGAAACGGGCGCUAAUACCGCAUACGUCCUGAGGGAGAAAGUGGGGGAUCUUCGGACCUCACGCUCUCAGAUGCGCCUAGGUCGGAUUAGCUAGUUGGUGGGGUAAAGGCCUACCAAGGCGACGAUCCGUACCUGGUCUGAGAGGCUGAUCAGUCACACUGGAACUGAGACACGGUCCAGACUCCUACGGGAGGCAGCAGUGGGGAAUCUUAGGCAAUGGGCGAAAGCCUGAUCCAGCCAUGCCGCGUGUGUGAAGAAGGUCUUCGGAUUGUAAAGCACUUUAAGUUGGGAGGAAGAGAAGUGAGUUAAUACCUGGCUGUCUUGACGUUACCAACAGAAUAAGCACCGGCUAACUACGUG
RNAcentral lists this ribosomal RNA (484 nucleotides) under uncultured bacterium. RNAcentral describes it as "partial 16S ribosomal RNA". It matches the Rfam family "Bacterial small subunit ribosomal RNA", at positions 30 to 507 of the family's 1533-position model. The record is from RNAcentral.